Molecule: ribosomal RNA, 494 nt
Filed under: uncultured bacterium
Lineage: Bacteria
Description: partial 16S ribosomal RNA
Rfam family: Bacterial small subunit ribosomal RNA
Source: RNAcentral
GACGAACGCUGGCGGCGUGCUUAACACAUGCAAGUCGAACGGUGAAGCGCCUUCCUUUUUGGUGGGUGUGGAUGAGUGGCGAACGGGUGAGUAACACGUGAGUAACCUGCCCCCUUCUUCUGGAUAACCGCAUGAAAGUGUGGCUAAUACGGGAUAUUCUGGGUCUGUCGCAUGAUGGGUCUGGGAAAGAUAUUGUUUCGGUGGGGGAUGGGCUCGCGGCCUAUCAGCUUGUUGGUGGGGUGAUGGCCUACCAAGGCGGUGACGGGUAGCCGGCCUGAGAGGGUCGACGGUCACACUGGGACUGAGACACGGCCCAGACUCCUACGGGAGGCAGCAGUGGGGAAUAUUGCACAAUGGGCGCAAGCCUGAUGCAGCGACGCCGCGUGAGGGAUGGACGCCUUCGGGUUGUGAACCUCUUUCGCCAGUGAAGCAGGCCUGCCUCGUUUGUGGGUGGGUUGACGGUAGCUGGAUAAGAAGCGCCGGCUAACUACGUG